AUAGCGUAUAUUAAAGUUGUUGCGGUUAAAACGCUCGUAGUUGGAUUUGCGGCCUCGAAGGAUGGUCCCCCGAAAGGGCGGUCACUAUCUCUUCUAGCCUAAAUUCGAGUCGUCUCUAGGUGCUCUUUACUGAGUGCUUAGAGUGACUAGAACGUUUACUUUGAAAAAAUUAGAGUGCUUAAAGCAGACGAAAUAGUCUGAAUAAGGUGCAUGGAAUAAUGGAAUAGGACCUCGGUUCUAUUUUGUUGGUUUUUCGGAACCCGAGGUAAUGAUUAAUAGGGACGGACGGGGGCAUUCGUAUUGCGGCGCUAGAGGUGAAAUUCUUGGGCCGUCGCAAGACGAACUACUG
This 349-nucleotide ribosomal RNA is filed under the name Nematoda environmental sample. RNAcentral describes it as "bacterial SSU rRNA". It matches the Rfam family "Eukaryotic small subunit ribosomal RNA", at positions 594 to 945 of the family's 1831-position model. The record is from RNAcentral. Lineage: Eukaryota; Metazoa; Nematoda.